UGAGUCCCAUUGGCCUUUGGGGGAGGUUUGAAAAAUUUUAUUAUGACUAAAUAGGUAAAAAGAUAGUUAAAAAAUUGGGCAACUAUAGUUGUUAUAGGCCAGGUGUAAAAGGUAGCUUAGGAAAACUUUGUGCCAGCACUUGCGGUCAAACAUAAAAGAGGUCAAAUAAUGAUAAUGGCUUGAAGCCAAGAAAAAUAAAUCCGAGAAAAAUAAGUUGUAAAAUGGGAAUUUUUUAGGAUAAGAGAAAAAGGCUUUUCACUUGAGUGAAGGGACUGGGAUUAGAAACCCCAUUACUCUCAAUAAAGGUAGAAAGUAGAGUAAAGAAAUAUUGGUCUGGAAAAAAAAAAGGUUUGGCGGCUUUUUCUCAAAUUAGAGAGUUAUGGUAAUAAUCGAAAUUGCACGAGAAUCUUUCUUUUUCUUCUCCCUCACACACCGCCGACUGAAGAGGGCCUUGAAAAAAAAUCUCUAUUUCUAUAGAAGAAAUAAGUCAGGUAAAAGUGUGGGUUUGAAAAAGUAGAACUGUAAUUCUAUGCAAAUUAAAUUUAUGGAAAUUUUUUGAAAGUGAAAAAAAAAAUUGAAUUUAAUAGUAAAUUAAGAAAAAUAUACUUGGUUGAAUUUGGAAGGAAAAGUGUACAAAUUGCCCGUCAAUCCAAAAAUGGACAAGUCGAAACAAAGUUGGCCUACUGGAAGGUGGUUCAUCUGUGUAC
Molecule: ribosomal RNA, 707 nt
Filed under: Chelopistes texanus
Lineage: Eukaryota; Metazoa; Arthropoda; Insecta; Psocodea; Philopteridae
Description: 12S ribosomal RNA
Source: RNAcentral